RNAcentral lists this ribosomal RNA (497 nucleotides) under uncultured bacterium. RNAcentral describes it as "partial 16S ribosomal RNA". It matches the Rfam family "Bacterial small subunit ribosomal RNA", at positions 28 to 507 of the family's 1533-position model. The record is from RNAcentral.
GAUGAACGCUGGCGGCGUGCCUAAUACAUGCAAGUCGAACGCAUAGCGAAAGGUUCUUCCUCCUUUCAGGUGCGGGGGGAAGGGUAGAGUAAAACAAGGACAACCGGCCUGGAGGCUGAGGUUAACAUUUGGAAACAGAUACCACUACCGAACAAAGCUUAGUGUCGCAUGACCCACGGAUAAAAGGCGCUUCGGCGUGACCUAGUGAUGGUACCGGGGUGCAUUAGUUAGUUGGUGGGGUAAAGGCCUACCAAGACGAGGAUGCGUAGCCGAUUUGAGAGGAUGAUCCGGCACCAUGGAACUGAGACACGGUCCCAACUCCUACGGGAGGCCGCAGUGGGGAAUAUUGCACAAUGGGCGAAAGCCUGAUGGAGCCAUGCCGCGUGUGUGAAGAAGGCUUUCGGGUCGUAAAGCACUGUUGUAUGGGAAGAACAGCUAGAAGAGGAAAUGAUGUUAGUUUGACGGUACCAUAACAGAAAGCGACGGCUAACUACGUG